This is a non-coding RNA of Paramuricea clavata, 636 nucleotides long. The record is from the annotation of a GenBank genome assembly. NCBI's taxonomy places the organism in Eukaryota, Metazoa, Cnidaria, Anthozoa, Malacalcyonacea, Plexauridae.
ACCAACAAAAACGAUGACUGUUCUGAAAAAAAUCUUGCUGGAAUUGUAGUAUUAUAGCAAUAUUGUUCGUCAUUUCAUUUGUUGUUAUUGCUUAUUUGGUUUAUCAAAAUCGUCGACUACAUUCAUCAAGCAGUGAGUCCACUAGGGCAAACGUGGAGAGGACAAAUAAUUCACGAGAUACUCAUGAUAAUCGUGACAGCGAUGACGCCAUUUAUGAACAAGUAGAUAAUGAACAGUCGACCUACACUGCUCUCGAAAGACCUGGGGAGAGAGAAAGUGAUGUUCAUUUAUAUUGUCAUCUAAAUGAAGUACAAAAUCAGAAGGAAACUGGAUUUUAAUGCCUUAUUUACACAGAGUUAAUCGUCAUUUGGUCUGCAAACACUGAAAAUUUCAAAAUGUCUAUAAUUUUUAUUGAGACGAAAUCAAUAUGCAAAAAUCUUAUGAAAAUUUGCUGAUUAAUUUUAACGACUGGAUCAUUGCUUUACCAAAAACGUGGAUGCUUCUUUUCGCUCCCAAAACCGUGUCAUAUUUUCGUAUCAAAACAUUUAGGAAUUCGACUACAUUUUUAUGCCUAUUAUUGAUAAAAUGUGAAAAUAUUUUUUAUGUAUGUCAAUAUAAUUUCUCGCGGAUCAGGCG